GCCUAACUCAGUUGUUAGAGCAUGAGACUUUUAAUCUCAGGGUUGUGGGUUUGAUCCCCACAUUGGGUA
Non-coding RNA from Podarcis lilfordi (Lilford's wall lizard), 69 nucleotides. NCBI's taxonomy places the organism in Eukaryota, Metazoa, Chordata, Lepidosauria, Squamata, Lacertidae. The record is from the annotation of a GenBank genome assembly.